Vicia faba (fava bean) is the source of this 366-nucleotide non-coding RNA. Lineage: Eukaryota; Viridiplantae; Streptophyta; Magnoliopsida; Fabales; Fabaceae. The record is from the annotation of a GenBank genome assembly.
GCUUAUUGGUAUUUGUGUAAAACCUAUUGGUUAGAUAAGGCAAGGGUGGAUAUUAGAGAAAGGGGAUCGAGAAGAAGAACAGGAAAAGCUGUGCCCAAGAAAAAGUUUCCUCUUCAUCGCUCCGUACUCCCUUCAAAUCUCUAUCAUCCAAUACGAAUUCCUUUUCUUCUUCAAGCUUAUCCCCAGCUUUCAUCUUUCCGUUCUUUUUCAUCGCUCCAUCACCACACAAAUUCCAUCUUCCUCAAUACUUUCCUCUCAUCGGUUACAGACUUUCACUGUGACUCAACCAAACAUCACGCCAACUCACUGUUCCGCUCUGUUCCGGAUACUUACAACAACUGCCAACGUUCAUUUUCUUCUCGCUGA